This 20-nucleotide unclassified non-coding RNA is filed under the name Mus musculus (house mouse). Its description in RNAcentral is "oocyte_clustered_small_RNA8929". The record is from RNAcentral. Lineage: Eukaryota; Metazoa; Chordata; Mammalia; Rodentia; Muridae.
CUGUCCCUGCAGCUGAGCCU